Molecule: long non-coding RNA, 38057 nt
Filed under: Triticum aestivum (bread wheat)
Lineage: Eukaryota; Viridiplantae; Streptophyta; Magnoliopsida; Poales; Poaceae
Description: long non-coding RNA (TAES_LNC000227)
Source: RNAcentral
CAUGUGCGCCUGAAAGUUUUUUCCUUUAUCAUAGAUUCUUUUUUAAAAUGUUUUAUCUCUUAAACCGUGCGUCCAAAUCUCGAACCGUUUUCAUCAUUGCAUUCUUUGCAUCGAGAUCUUUAAAAUUAGAUCCCAUGUUGAUAGAUUUUGAUGAACUUAAAAAAACAGAUGAAAAAACUGAACCCGGUGCACGUUUUUCCCCUUUCCAAAAGAGGCAUGGCCGUGCCUCUCAUGGAAGCAAAAAAUACACGUUUUUUUCGUUUCUGAGAGGCACGUCCAUGUCUCUCUCGAAAGAAAAAACGUGCCUCUCGUGGAAUGAAAAUUUUUUGAGUUUUCCCGUUUCCUAGAGGCAUGUGCCUCUCGCGAAAGCUAAACCAUGCCUCUCGUGAAAGUAAAAGACAUUUUUUUCUCGCAAUUGUUUUUUGGUCCAAAAGCUAAGAAAGAUAAAAGUCGAAAAAAACUGAAAAACAAAAACCCGUCUAAAAAGCCGAAAAUGCGUGCGGAAAAUAAAAAAUAAAAUCCAAGGGAAACAUUCAAGUGACGCGCUCUCAGCCAACUCCAAGUAAUCGUUGGGAGGCUUGCGAAGGAGCGAUCGUUAACUAGUUGCUCUCUUGUCUAGCGCACAGACACACAAAGGACCCACGACUGGGCCGGCCCACAAACAGGCACCGAAGCAUAACACGACUUAAAAGUCACAAAAAGGAGGGAGGAGCCGACAAGAAAAGAACACACGCCCCUCUAAUCCUGAAUGUGUGCUGCUAGCCCACUGGAGUUGUUAGCUCUUGGUGAUAUAUGAUAUAUGGGCAGCGCGAGUCUUUUAGGAACACAUCGAAGCGGCACAUUGGAAUUAUUUUUUAAAAGGAGACAUUUUUUGAAAACAUGAAAAAUCUUUAAAAAUUAGAACCCACUUGCAAAUUCCAAGCAUUAUUUUGGAAAAGUGAGAACAAAAAUUUAAAUUAUGUACAAUUUUUAAAUUUUCAAAAAAAUAAAACAUAAUUUUUUUUGAAACUAUGAACUUUUUUUAAGAAUGUGAACACAUUUUGAAAUUCUGAACAUUUUCUGAAAUUGCAAAUAAUUUUGAAAAUAUGAUUACAUUUUGAAACUCCAAACAUUAUUUGACAACGUGAACAAAUUUAAAAUUCUGAAUAUUUUUGGAGAUGCAAACAAAAAAUUUAAAGCAAAAAAGGAAUUUCAAUUUUUUUAAAGAAUAAUAUUCCAAUAUGUCAAACAUUUUUUGAAAUUUGCAAAAAAACAGAAAAAGGAAAAAAAUAUGAACAAAGAAUAAAAACCAGAUCAAAACUGAAGAAGAAAAAGAAAACGCAGUUUAGCAAACUUCUAGAAGGAUCCCAAAAACGGUGAGGACUAUUCAGAAGGUUGACAAAACCGGUGGCUCGCACGCUCCCAUGGGGCAGCCCAUUCAAUCGAUCGGGGUGUGCGAUUGCCUGACUAUUUUUUUGCAAAAUGCAGCAAAUAGGUAAUUCCCACGCACAGGUCCCGUUCCACCUUUGUCACAUGUGCAGUUCAAACCCAGCCAGUUUUAUGAACUUUUCUAUAAGCUUCCGGCCUGUUUUGGGGAGCUUCUAAAUGCUUCUGGAAGGGUUUUGCUCUUUUCUUAUUUCUUUUUUGGGUCGGUUUUGUUUGGUUUUUCUUUUUUUCUUUGUUCCUCUUCUCUUAAAUGUGUGAAUCUAUUCAAAUCCGAAAUCUUUCUUCAAAACCAUGAGAAAAAUAUGUGAACUUUUGUCUCAAAAUUGAUGAACUUUUUUUUCUUUACUUCAGUUUCCUUUGUUUCUUCAUCGUUCUUUCUUCCAUUUUUGUUUUUCUUUGUUUCUGGACAGAUUUCUUUCCCGAUUUUGAUUCAUUUUUCUUUUGUUUUCUUUUUUGGUUUUCUUCAACUUUUUGUUUCUUUCUCGGUUUUCUCCUAUUUUCUUGUUUUCUUUGUUUCAUUAUCUUUGGCACCUGUAUUUCUUUGGUUUUAUUUAUUUUAUGUUGUUUAUUCAUCGAUUUUUCUUGUUCUUUGUUAUACUUUGGUUUUUCUCAGUUUUCUUAUGUUUCUUCGUUGAUUUCCAUCAUUUUUUGUCUUUUUCAACACAUGUCUGUUUUUUCAGUGCUUAGUGUACAUUUUUAGUGUAUGAAUGAAACAUUUUUCUAAUACAUGUUGUACAUUUCUCAAAUACAUUAUGUACUUUUUCUUCAACACAUGUUAUGAACUCUUUUUUGAAUAUAUGGUCAACAUUCUUUUUAAAUACACGCUGGACAUUCUAUAAUGGCAAUAAACAUUGUUUUAAACUAUGCAGCAUUUUCUUUACAUUGUAUAAAUGUAUAAAUAUUUUUUGAAUGUCACAAUUUUUUUAAAUAUGAGAAUAUUUCUUGAAAACUUCAUGUAUUUUUUUCUAAUGGCACGAAACAUUAUUUUACUAGGCAAAGAUGUUUUGUAUAUUUUAUACACAUUUCAAAAUUUCACAGACAUAGUUUUGAAAGGCAUAAAUAUUUUUUCAUUUUGAUGACAUUUUUCUGAAAGCUAUCAACAAUUUUAUUUGUGCUUUUAUAUUAUGUUAACAUUUUUCAGAUUUACUUUUUUAAAAUUAAGUAAAAUUAAGUUUUUUAAAAAUAUAUCCAUUUAGAAUAUAUACAUAAAAAUAAAAGUAUGACCCAUGACCAAUUAUGAGUGUAGUGUGCACUCAUUCUUAGCCAUGUUUAAACCGGAGAAUUUUAAAUUUUCUGAGAGAACCACUUCAAUAUGUAUGAUCUCUAAAGUUAAGAAAGGCUAAAGAUUGCAUACCCCUUUGUUUAUUUUGUUCCUUGCAGUAAUGGGCCAUUUUAGAAGAUAAAUCAGACCAUAUAUGUGAGAUAUUUGGCAUGGAGAUCAAGUCCAGUAUUCUAGAGUGCCCAAAAGGCACCGGAAGAGAAGACUACACCUGGCACUAGUGCCCGCUUGUACCAGCGGUCGAACUGCUUGCCACCGCCUGUGUGAUAUGAGCACUAACUGAAGGAAAAUAUUCCCUAGAGGCAAUAAUAAAGUUAUUAUCUAUUUCCUUAUUUUCAUGAUAAAUGUUUCUUAUUCAUGCUAGAAUUGUAUUAAUCGGAAACUUGAUACAUGUGUGAAUACAUAGACAAACAGAGUAUCACUAGUAUGCCUCUACUUGACUAGCUCGUUGAAGCAAAGAUGGUUAAGUUUCCUAGCCAUAGACAUGAGUUGUCAUUUGAUUAACGGGAUCACAUCAUUAGAGAAUGAUAUGAUUGACUUGACCCAUUCCGUUAGCUUAGCACUUGAUCGUUUAGUAUGUUGCUAUUGCUUUGUUCAUGACUUAUACAUGUUCCUAUGACUACGAGAUUAUGCAACUCCCGUUUACCGGAGAAACACUUUCUGUGCUACCAAACGUCACAACGUAACUGGGUGAUUAUAAAGGUGCUCUACAGGUGUCUCCGAAGGUACUUGUUGAGUUGGUGUAUUUCGAGAUUAGGAUUUGUCACUCCGAUUGUCGGAGAGGUAUCUCUGGGCCCACUCAGUAAUACACAUCACUAUAAGCCUUGCAAGCAUUGUAACUAAUGAGUUAGUUGCGGGAUGAUGUAUUACGGAACGAGUAAAGAGACUUGCCGGUAACGAGAUUGAACUAGGUAUUGAGAUACCGACGAUCGAACCUCGGGCAAGUAACAUACCGAUGACAAAGGGAACAACAUAUGUUAUUGUGCCGUUUGACCGAUAAAGAUCUUCGUAGAAUAUGUGGGAGCCAAUAUGAGCAUCCAGGUUCCGCUAUUGGUUAUUGACCGAAGACUUGUCUCGGUCAUGUCUACAUAGUUCUCGAACCCGUAGGGUCCGCACGCUUAAAAGUUCGGUGACGAUUUGUAUUAUGAGUUUAUGUGUUUUGAUGUACCGAAGGUAGUUCGGAGUCCCGGACGAGAUCGGGCACAUGAUGAGGAGUCUCGAAAUGGUUGAGACGUAAAGAUCGAUAUAUUGGACGACUAUAUUCGGACAUCGGAAAGGUUCCGAGUGAUUCGGGUAUUUUUCGGAGUACCGGAGAGUUACAGGAAUUCGCCGGGGAGUAUAUGGGCCUUAUUGGGCUUUAGGGGAAAGAGAGAGUGGAGGCUACGCACCCCCCAAGGCUUAGUCCGAAUUGGACUAGGGGGAGGGGCGGCGCCCCCUCCUUCCUUCUCUUCUCUUUUCCCUUUCCUUCUCUCCUACUCCUACUACUUGGAAGGGCUCUUAGUUCUACUAGGAAAUGGGGAAUCCUACUCCCGGUGGGAGUAGAACUCCCUAGGGCGCGCCAUAGAGAGGGCCGGCCCUCCCCCUCCUCCACUCCUUUAUAUACGGGGAGGGGGCACCCCUUGGAGACAACAAUUGAUCAUUGAUCUCUUAGCCGUGUGUGGUGCCCCCCUCCACCAUAAUCCACCUCAGUAAUAUCGUACCGGUGCUUAGGCGAAGCCCUGCGUCGGUAGCAACAUCAUCACCGUCAUCACGCCGUCGUGCUGACGGAACUCUCCCUCGGAGCUCUGCUGGAUCGGAGUUCAUGGGACGUCAUCGAGCUAAACGUGUGCUGAACUCGGAGGUGCCGUGCGUUCGGUACUUGGAUCGGUCGGAUCGUGAAGACGUACGACUACAUCAACUGCGUUGUCAUAACGCUUCCGCUUUCGGUCUACGAGGGUACGUGGACAACACUCUCCCCUCUCGUUGCUAUGCAUCACCAUGAUCUUGCGUGUGCGUAGGAUUUUUUUUUUGAAAUUACUACGUUCCCCAACAGUGGCAUCCGAGCCAGGUUUUAUGCGUAGAUGUUAUAUGCACGAGUAGAACACAAGUGAGUUGUGGGCGAUACAAGUCAUACUGCUUACCAGUAUGUCAUACUUUGGUUCGGCGGUAUUGUUGGAUGAAGCGGCCCGGACCGACAUUACGCGUACGCUUACGCGAGACUGGUUCUACCGACGUGCUUUGCACAUAGGUGGCUGGCGGGUGUCAGUUUCUCCAACUUUAGUUGAACCGAGUGUGGCUACGCCCGGUCCUGGAGAAGGUUAAAACAGCACUAACUUGACAAACUAUCGUUGUGGUUUUGAUGCGUAGGUAAGAACGGUUCUUGCUAAGCCCGUAGCAACCACGUAAAACUUGCAACAACAAAGUAGAGGACGUCUAACUUGUUUUUGCAGGGCAUGUUGUGAUGUGAUAUGGUCAAGGCAUGAUGCUAUAUUUUAUUGUAUGAGAUUAUCAUGUUUUGUAACCGAGUUAUCGUCAACUGGCAGGAGCCAUAUGGUUGUCGCUUUAUUUUAUGCAAUGCAAUCGCCCUGUAAUGCUUUACUUUAUCACUAAGCGGUAGCGAUAGUCGUAGAAGCAAUAGUUGGCGAGAUGACAACGAUGCUACGAUGGAGAUCAAGGUGUCGCGCCGGUGACGAUGGUGAUCAUGACGGUGCUUCAGAGAUGGAGAUCACAAGCACAAGAUGAUGAUGGCCAUAUCAUAUCACUUAUAUUGAUUGCAUGUGAUGUUUAUCUUUUAUGCAUCUUAUUUUGCUUAGAUCGAUGGUAGCAUUAUAAGAUUAUCUCUCACUGAAUUUCAAGGUAUAAGUGUUCUCCCUGAGUAUGCACCGUUGCCAAAGUUCGUCGUGCCGAGACACCACGUGAUGAUUGGGUGUGAUAAGCUCUACGUUCAUCUACAACGGGUGCAAGACAGUUUUGCACACGCGGAAUACUCAGGUUAAACUUGACGAGCCUAGCAUAUGCAGAUAUGGCCUCGGAACACUGAGACAGAAAGAUCGAGCGUGAAUCAUAUAGUAGAUAUGAUCAACAUAGUGAUAUUCACCAUUGAAAACUUCUCCAUCUCACGUGAUGAUCGGACAUGGUUUAGUUGAUAUGGAUCACGUGAUCACUUAGAUGAUUAGAGGGAUGUCUAUCUAAGUGGGAGUUCUUUAAUAAUUGGGCCAUUUGCAUUUCUGUCCCUAACUCGAACCACCUAAUCAGAUAUACCCCUAAUUCCAAAGCCUGCUCAAAAAUGCCCCUCCGCCGUGAUGUGCCCUUAUAGAAAUGCCCCUCCGAGCCGUUUCCGUCCAGUCAAGGCUGUUUGACCGCUAACGUGCCAUUUCUUUGACAUUUUUGCCCCUCCUGCCGUACAUCUGGGCCCAACUAACCGGUUCACUCUCUCUCCCCUCUUUCUUCUUCCUCGCGACGACAGGGGCAUUUUUGAGCACGUACUGGAUCAGGCGUUUUCGUGGUUGGAGAGAGAGGGGUAGGUCAGGCACGGCGUGGUGAGCGAUGUCUACGUCGGGCACGGCGGGGAUGUCUUCUACGAGCUCGUCGGUGGCCACCAAUGUAAGUUUCAGUGUCGAUUUGGGGGAGAUAUGGGCAUAUUGCGGAAUUAGGGUUCAUCAAUUUGGGUUUUUUUGCUGCUGUUAGGUUGAUGGUGUCAGGAUAGUUCAGUUUCAAUCGGAGUUUUACAUCCCCGAUCUGACAUUCUGUGGCCUUGAGGUUCGCUCGAUGCAGCGGUGCCCUGGCCACGGGCUUAUUCCUGCUCGUCGUGUCGCCUGGGGAGGAGCAAGCUCCGACAGAAGGUUCCUCGGCUGCCCACUUGAUGUAAGUGUUUGGCUUUUAAGCUUGAUUUGAUUCUGCUCUUUCCCCUCUUUCUAAUUCGAUCAUUGAUUUUGCAGCUUCCUGAUGAAUGUGAGUGGGUUGUAUGGAUUGACCCGCCACCGACCGAACAUGUUGCUCGUGCAUUUGAGGAGCUUCAUGCAGGAUUGGGGAAGAGCUGGCUAAAAUCUCAUGAUUUAGAGAGGAGGGUGAUGUAUCUAACCGAGAAGAACAAGAAACUGAAGCUGAGGAUGAAAAAGAGGAACGAGCCUAUGCAAGCAUGGGGAUUUAUCAUAGUUCUUGGUAUUAGCAUUGUGGCCACAUUUGUUUCUAGGUGGUCUAAUAAUCCAUACUAAAUGGAUUUCUCUUUGUAGUGUGUGUUGUGAUGGAGCUUGGUUUGGGUAUGUAUUAUCAGAGAACAAUGCUGUGAUUUGGGAAUGUUGUGAUGUUGCUAUUUGGAAAUGACUCAAGAAUCUUGCUUUGAUCGAUGACUGAAAUAGCAUAGAUUGAAAUAUUUGAACAAAUGAUCUGUUGUGACAAAAUAGGAGCUCACAAAAAUAUUUGAAAGUAGCAUCUCACAAGAUAGCAGCUCACAUAAUAUUCGAAACUAGCAGCUCACAAAAUAGCAUAAAUUCAUCAUUGCACAAAAGGAGCAUUGCACAUUCAAGAUAGUAGCUCACAAGUUCACCAUUACAUAAGUUCAUAAUUUUAGCAUCACACACUUAAGAUAGCAGCUAACAAGUUCACAAAUAGUUGUUAAACAACAAAAACAGCAGUAAAUGAUUCCAGUCAUAGGUCUUUCAUCUUCUUGCUCCUGGUGUUGCAAGCAGGGUUAGUUAAGAGCCUUGAACUCCUCCUUGUGGUGAUAGUUUUGCUCACUUCUUUGCUUAGCUGGUUGCUUCCAGUUACAGAUCCUACUGUAGGAUCUGGUGCAAACUUGAGCCUCUUCUUGACUGGUGACAUCCCUCUAUCAGCUGCCUUUUUGUAGUUCUUCCUUGGGCUACAAUUGAAAUGAGAACAUUAAAUGCAGCAAAAAAGGAAAUGAGAACAUCAAAUGAAGCAAAAAUUGAAAUGAGAACAUCUGUAGCAGUUGCACCUUACAGCAGAUGACACUGUUGGUGCAUCUGUAGCAAUUGCAGCAUCAGGUUCAACCUCUAUAGCAUUUUCAGCAUCAGGUUCAACCUCUGUAGCAUUUUCAGCAUCUGUUUCAACCUUAGUAGCAUUUUCAGCAUCUGUUUCUACAUCUAAAUGAUCAUCUGUUGCAUUUUCAGCCCCCAGUGCUCUUCUUCCCCAAAAGCUGGGUCAAUGGAUUCCUUGCAGUGAGUGCCACGAUGGCCAAGCCUUCCACACCUGCCACAUUUCUUUCUCCUUCCUCCAAGUCCUUUUCCCUCAGAUUUUGCCCUAAUUCUUGUCUUCCUAGGUCUACCAGGGGCCCUGUUUUGCAAUGGAGCAGACAAUUUAAACCUAGGGUCCACCACAUCCCACUGUUGUUUGCCCUCCAUUGCAGGCAAAUUUUCAUCAUAAGUAGCAUUGAAUCUAGCAACAGAAAAGUACUCAUGUACAUACUGAUCAAUCUCACUUACUGGGCCUCUCAUUGAAGUAAUAAAAUACAAAGCAUGUAUGCAAGGCUGUCCAGUUAACUGCCACUUUCUACAACUGCAAGUCCUAGUGGCCAAAUUUACUGGAUAUCUCCACUCUCUCUUUUUCUUACUGUGCAACUGCCUAAGAUGGUAGUUGUGUUUCUUUAUGCUGUAUGUCAAUGAGCAGGGCCAUAAAUUUUCAUCAAGAAUUUUCCUCUAAACUUUUUUGUGAAAUUUGUAGCCAAAUGCCUCAUGCAUUCUCUCUGCUCCACACCUGGGAACACAUCUUCCACUGCAGUAUCCAAGCCUUUGCAUGCAUCAGUGUGGAUAACAAGACCUGGUGGGUGUCCUAUAAGCUCUCUUAAGUUCUGAAAAAACCAAGUCCAACUGUCUAUGCUUUCACCCUCUAGAACUCCAUAUGCAACUGGGAAGAUCCAAUUGCAAGCAUCCACAGCACAUGCACUAACUAGUUGCCCUCUAAACCUACCAUUUAAUGCAGUGGCAUCUACUGCAAGAUAAGGCUUACAUCCAUUCAAAAAACCUUGCCAACAUGCUUUGAAAGAAACAAAUACUCUUCUAAAGCACUCUUUCUGUCUACUCUUCCCAUUUAGUUUGUACCGCACAACGUGUUUAUCAAUGGUAACUACACUACCAGGAGAUGCUUUCUCCACUUCUGCCUUGAAGGUAUACAGUAACUGGAAAGAGUCAACCCACUUACCAUAGAUAUUGUCAAGUGCCAUUUGCUUCCCAUAGAAUACUCUCAUAUAUAGAACUGCCAGGCCAUACUUCUUCUUCAAAUUUUUCUGCAAUUCUGUUGGUCUCACUUCUGAAUCCUCUAAAACCCAGGUCUUCACAGCAUCAGCAACCCAUCUACUCUUAGCUGACUUCAAUCUUUUUCUCCUGUUCACACUGGGACAUGUAUGAGCAGUUUUGUUCACCUUAAUCUGCAUUCAUGAAAGUUCACACACAUGUUAGAACCUAUGUGCCGCAACAAACAAACAAAAUACAGUAUCAAUGCUGCUAACUACAAAUGCAAUGUUAGUUGCUAUUUUUGAUACCUGAAACAGUGUGCUAUGUCUCAUUAAGGAGGCAUGCAUCCUCCAUUGACACCUCUUAUAAGUGCAAUGCACUGUCAACCUAGUACUGUCACUCUUGUCUAUCACAAAUUCACUUUGAGUCUUUAUUGAGAAGGUUGCAAGAGCAUUUCUACAGUCUAAAGCACUGGAAAAUAUUGUUCCCUGUGCCAAAGAAGGAUCAUCUCUAUUGUAUUGCACAUCUGGUCUUUCCUCAUCAGAUGUUUUAGAGUAUCCCAUGUCCCUGUCCUCCUCCUUCUCAUCUUCACCUGCCUUAGCAAACAUGCCUUCAGGGGGUGGAACAUAAUCUUCCCCCUCAUCAUCUUUCUCCUUGCCCUUCUUCCUUGUUACAAACUGUGGAAACAACUUUUCAUCCUCAUCAUCACUUGGCCAAUCAUCUGGUAGUCCCUCUUCAGUAUAGGGGUCAACUGAAUCUCUACUAUGAGAGGGACCUGCAUUCUUAGGAACUUCUACAGUAGGUGUUCCUGGUGCCUGCAUGGAACUGAUGCUGCCUCUACUAUGAGUUGUUCUUUUCCUGCCCCUUGAUUGGCUGGUCCUACCUUUAUCUCUAGACCUAGACUGAGAUCUUGUUCCUCUGCUCUCUGGCUCUCCUCUCUUCCUUUGUAUGACACUGAUUUCUAGUUUAGCAGGGAAAGAAUCAUGUAUUGCAAACAUGAUACCAAGCUCAUCAUCACACUGGACAGGGACCCAAGCUGUUUUGUCAAUGUCCCAGUACCUGAAUUCCACUGCAUCAUAUAGACCCCAUGGAUAUUGAGCACAUAUGGCAGAUCUAAACUGAUUAAAAGUCCAUUGAUUGUCAGCAACAAAAGGAAAAGAGAAUCCUGUAUUGGUUGCUUUUGUGCCAGCUCUAGCUAGAAGUGUGGUUUCUAUUCUACAGUCCAUCCCAACUGCUCUAUCGGGGUCGAUCCUACGAUGACCAUGGAAAACAGAGAUAGAUCCCAACGCCAUGAGCACUAUGAACUAGGUCAACAAAUCCCAAAUCACACUACAAAUGGCAUGAGACUCCGCCAGAUUAGAAGAGAAACUUACCCCGCCGAAGCAUGCUUCUGUGGCUGCGGUGUGCUCCCUCGUUUGCCGCCGCCACCGCCACAGCCGCCGCAACUGCUAUCCCCAUCCAUCCGCCGCCGCCGCCGUAGUAGAGUGCGGCGCAGAGUCAAAUCUGAAGCUCCACCAUGGCUGCCAUCAGGAGAUCGAGCCUUGUGAGUUGGAUCGAGCGAGCUAGGGUUAGGGUUACGGCGGGAGGCGAUUUGGGGGAGAAAGAGAGAGCGUGCGGCUCGGGCGAGAGAAUGAGAGGGAGAGAGAGUGAACUGGUGACCUGGGCCUAGGUGUAAGGACGGAGGGGCAAAAAUGUCAAAGAAACGGCCACUUACCAGUCAAACAGCCUUGACUGGACGGAAACGGCACGGAAGGGCAAUUCUAUAAGGGAACAUGAUCGCGGAGGGGUAUUUUUGAGCAGGCUUGCGAAUUAGGAGCAAAUGUGAGUAGUGGGUUCGAGUUAGGGAUACAGAUGUAAAAGACCCUUAAUAAUUUGAUCAACUGAACUUUAAUUUAUCAUGAACUUAGUCCUGGUAGUAUUAGCAUAUCUAUGUUGUAGAUCAAUAGCUCGCGUUUAGCUCCCCUGUUUUAUUUUUGAUAUGUUCCUAGAGAAAACUAAGUUGAAAGAUGUUAGUAGCAAUGAUGCGGAUUGGAUCCGUGAUCUGAGGAUUAUCCUCAUUGUUGCACAGAAGAAUUAUGUCCUUGAUGCGCCGCUAGGUGACAGACCGAUUGCAGGAGCAGAUGUAGAUGUUAUGAACGUUUGGCAAGCUCGAUAUGAUGACUACUUGAUAUUUUAGUGCACCAUGCUUUACGGCUUAGAAUCGGGGCUUCAAAGACGUUUUUUGAAACGCCACGGAGCAUAUGAGAUGUUCCAAGAGUUGAAAUUAGUAUUUCAUACUCAUGCCCGUGUCGAGAGGUAUGAGACCUCUGACAGUACUUUGCCUACAAGAUGGAGGAGAAUUGCUCAGCUAGUGAGCAUGUACUCAGAAUGUCUGAGUACUACAAUCACUUGAAUCAAGUGGGAGUUAAUAUUUUGAGAUAAGAUAGUGAUUGGCAGAGUUCUCUAGUCACUAUCACAAAGUUACUAGAACUUCGUGAUGAACUAUAAUAUGCAAGGGAUAACGGAAACGAUUCCCGAGCUUUUCAUGAUGAUGAAAUCGAUGAAGGUAGAAAUCAAGAAAGAGCAUCAAGUGUUGAUGGUUGACAAGACCACUAGUUUCAAGGAAAAGGGCAAAGGGAAGAAGGGGAACUUCAAGAAGAACGGCAAGCAAGUUGCUGCUCAAGUGAAGAAGCCCAAGUCUGGACCUAAGCCUGAGACUAAGUGCUUCUACUGCAAAGGGACUGGUCACUGGAAGCGGAACUGCCCCAAGUAUUUGGCGGAUAAGAAGGAUGGCAAAGUGAACAAAGGUAUAUUUGAUAUACAUGUUAUUGAUGUAUACCUUACUAGUGUUUAUAGCAACCCCUCGGUAUUUGAUACUAGUUCAGUUGCUAAGAUUAGUAACUCGAAACGGGAGUUGCAGAAUGAACAGAAACUAGUUAAGGGCGAGGUGACGAUGUGUGUUGGAAGUAGUUCCAAGAUUGAUAUGAUCAUCAUCACACACUCCCUAUACUUUCGGGAUUAGUGUUGAACCUAAAUAAGUGUUAUUUGAUGUUUGCGUUGACCGUGAAUAUGAUUUGAUCAUGUUUAUUGCAAUACGGUUAUUCAUUUAAGUUAGAGAAUAAUUGUUGUUCUGUUUUAAUGAAUAAAACCUUCUAUGGUUUGUUGGAUCUCGAUUGUAGUGAUACGCAUAUUCAGAAUAUUGAAACCAAAAGAUGCAAAGUUAAUAAUGAUAGUGCAACUUAUUUGUGGCACUGCCUUUUAGGUCAUAUUGGUGUAAAGCACAUGAAAAAACUCCAUGUUGAAGGGCUUUUGGAAUCACUUGAUUAUGAAUCACUUGAUGCUUGCGAACCAUGCCUCAUGGGCAAGAUGACUAAGACUCUGUUCUCCGGAACAAUGGAGCGAGCAACUGACUUAUUGGAAAUAAUACAUACUGAUGUAUGCGGUCCGAUGAGUGUUGAGGCUCGCGGCAGGUAUCGUUAUUUCCUGACCUUCACAGAUGAUUUGAGCAAAUAUGGGUAUAUCUACUUAAUGAAACUGAAACAGUUGAAAAGUUGAAAGAAUUUCAGAAUGAAGUGGAGAAUCAUUGUAACAAGAAAAUAAAAGUUUUUCUGUGAUUUGAUCGCGGAGACGAAUAUUUGAGUUACAAGUUUGGCCUUCAAUUAAAACAAUGUGGAAUAGUUUGACAAACUCAUGCCACCUGGAACACCACAACAUAAUGGUGCGUCCGAACGUCAUAAUCGUACUUUAUUGGAUAUAGUGCAAUCUAUGAUGUCUCUUACCGAUUUACCACUAUCGUUUUGGGGUUAUGCAUUAGAGACAGCUGCAUUCACGUUAAAUAGGGCACCAUCUAAAUCCGUUGAGAUGACACCAUAUGAACUGUGGUUUAGCAAGAAACCAAAGUUGUCAUUUCUUAAAGUUUGGGGUUGCGAUGCUUAUGUGAAAAGGUUUCAUCCUGAUAAGCUCAAACCCAGAUCGAAGAAAUGUGUCUUCAUAGGAUACCCAAAGGAGACAGUUGGGUACACCUUCUAUCAUAGAUCCGAAGGCAAGACAUUCGUUGCUAAGAAUGGAUCCUUUCUAGAGAAAGAGUUUCUCUCGAAAGAAGUGAGUGGGAGGAAAGUAGAACUUGAUGAGGUAUUUUUACCUACUCCCUUAUUGGAAAGUAGUUCAUCACAGAAAUCCGUUCCUGUGACUCCUACACCAAUUAGUGAGGAAGCUAAUGAUGAUGAUCAUGUAACUUCAGAUCAAGUUACUACCGAACCUCGUAGGUCAACCAGAGUAAGAUCCGCACCAGUGGUACGGUAAUCCUGUUCUGAGGUCAUGUUACUUGACCAUGACGAACCUACGAACUAUGAGGAAGCGAUGAUGAGCCCAGAUUCUGUGAAAUGGUUUGAGGCCAUGAAAUCUGAGAUGGGAUCCAUAUAUGAGAACAAAGUAUGGACUUUGGUUGACUUGCCCAAUGAUCGGCAAGCCAUAGAAAAUAAAUGGAUCUUCAAGAGGAAGACGGACGCUGAUAGGAGUGUUACUAUCUACAAAGCUAGACUUGUCGAAAAAGGUUUUUGACAAAUUCAAAGUUGUUGACUACGAUGAGAUUUUCUCACUCGUAUCAAUGUUUAAAGUCUGUCCGAAUCAUGUUAGCAAUUGCCGCAUUUUAUGAAAUCUGGCAAAUGGAUAACAAAACUGUAAUCCUUAAUGGAUUUAUUAAAGAAGAGUUGUAUAUGAUGCAACCAGAAGGUUUUGUCAAUCCUAAAGGUGCUAACAAAAUGUGCAAGCUCCAGCGAUCCAUCUAUGGACUGGUGCAAGCAUCUCGGAGUUGGAAUAUACGCUUUGAUGAGUCGAUCAAAGCAUAUAGUAUUAUACAGACUUGCUGUGAAGCCUGUAUUUAUAAGAAAGUGAGUGGGAGCACUACAACCUUUCUGAUAAGUAUAUGUGAGUGACAUAUUGUUGAUCGGAAAUGAUGUAGAAUUUUCUGGAAAGCAUAAAGGAGUGUUUGAAAGGAGUUUUUCAAGGAAAGACCUCGGUGAAGCUGCUUACAUAUUGAGCAUCAAGAUCUAUAGAGAUAGAUCAAGACGCUUGAUAAGUUUUUUCAAUGAGUACAUACCUUGACAAGAUUUUGAAGUAGUUCAAAAUGGAACAGUCAAAGAAGGAGUUCUUGCCUGUAUUACAAGGUGUGAAGUUGAGUAAAGACUCAAAACCCGACCAUGGUAGAAGAUAGAGAGAGAAUGAAAGUCAUUCCCUAUGCCUCAGCCAUAGGCUAUGUAAAGUAUGCCAUGCUGUGUACCAGAUCUAUUGUAUACCCUACACUGAGUUUGGCAAGGGAGUACAAUAGUGAUCUACGAGUAGAUCACUGAACAGCGGUCAAAAUUAUCCUUAGUAGAAUAAGGAUAUGUUUCUUGAUUAUGGAGGUGACAAAAGGUUCGUCAUAAAGUGUUACGUCGAUGCAAGUUUUGACACUGAUCCAGAUGACUCUAAGUCUCAAUCUGGAUACAUAUUGAAAGUGGGAGCAAUUAGCUAAAGUAGCUCCGUGCAGAGCAUUGUAGACAUAGAAAUUUGCAAAAUACAUACGGAUCUGAAUUUGGCAGACCCGUUGACUAAACUUGUGUCACAAGCAAAACAUGAUCACACCGUAGUACUCUUUGGGUGUUAAUCACAUAGCGAUGUGAACUAGAUUACUGACUCUAGUAAACCCUUUGGGUGUUGGUCAAAUGUCGAUGUGAACUAUGGGUGUUAACCACAUAAAGAUGUGAACUAUUGAUGCUAAAUCACAUGGCGAUGUGAACUAGAUUAUUGACUCUAGUGCAAGUGGGAGACUGAAGGAAAUAUGCCCUAGAGGCAAUAAUAAAGUUAUUAUUUAUUUCCUUAUUUUCAUGAUAAAUAUUUAUUAUUCAUGCUAGAAUUGUAUUAACCAGAAACUUGAUACAUGUGUGAAUACAUAGCCAAACAGAGUGUCACUAGUAUGCCUCUACUUGACUAGCUCGUUGAAUCAAAGAUGGUUAAGUUUCCUAGCCAUAGACAUGAGUUGUCAUUUGAUUAACGGGAUCACAUCAUUAGAGAAUGAUGUGAUUGACUUGACCCAUUCCGUUAGCUUAGCACUUGAUCGUUAAGUAUGUUGCUAUUGCUUUUUUCAUGACUUAUACAUGUUCCUAUGACUAUGAGAUUAUGCAACUCCCGUUUACCGGAGGAACACUUUCUGUGCUACCAAACGUCACAACGUAACUGGGUGAUUAUAAAGGUGCUCUACAGGUGUCUCCGAAGAUACUUGUUGAGUUGGCGUAUUUCGAGAUUAGGAUUUGUCACUCCGAUUGUCGGAGAGGUAUCUCUGGGCUCACUCGGUAAUACACAUCACUAGAAGCCUUGCAAGCAUUGUAACUAAUGAGUUAGUUGCGGGAUGAUGUAUUACGGAACGAGUAAAGAGACUUGCCGGUAACGAGAUUGAACUAGGUAUUGAGAUACCGACGAUCGAACAUCGGGCAAGUAACAUACCGAUGACAAAGGGAACAACGUAUGUUGUUGUGCGGUUUGACCGAUAAAGAUCUUCGUAGAAUAUGUGGGAGCCAAUAUGAGCAUCCAGGUUCCGCUAUUGGUUAUUGACCGAAGACUUGUCUCGGUCAUGUCUACAUAGUUCUCGAACCCGUAGGGUCCACACGCUUAAAAGUUCGGUGACGAUUUGUAUUAUGAGUUUAUGUGUUUUUAUGUACCGAAGGUAGUUCGGAAUCCCGGAUGAGAUCGGGCAAAUGACGAGGAGUCUCGAAAUGGUCGAGACGUAAAGAUCGAUAUAUUGGACGACUAUAUUCGGACAUUGUAAAGGUUCCGAGUGAUUCGGGUAUUUUUCGGAGUACCGGAGAGUUACGGGAAUUCGCCGAGGAGUAUAUGGGCCUUAUUGGGCUUUAGGGGAAAGAGAGAGGAGAGGCUGCGCCCCCCCCCCAAGGCUUAGUCCGAAUUGGACUAGGGGGAGGGGCGGCGCCCCCUCCUUCCUUCUCUUCUCUUUUCCCUUUCCUUCUCUCCUACUCCUACUACUUGGAAGGGCUCUUAGUUCUACUAGGAAAGGGGGAAUCCUACUCGCGGUGGGAGUAGAACUCACCUAGGGCGCGCCAUAGAGAGGGCCGGCCCUCCCCCUCCUCCACUCCUUUAUAUACGGGGAGGGGGGAACCCCUUGGAGACAACAAUUGAUCAUUGAUCUCUUAGCCGUGUGCGGUGCCCCCCUACACCAUAAUCCACCUCGGUAAUAUCGUAGCAGUGCUUAGGCGAAGCCCCGCAUCGGUAGCAACAUCAUCACCGUCAUCACGCCGUCGUGCUGACGGAACUCUCCCUCGAAGCUCUGCUGGAUCGGAGUUCGUGGGACGUCAUCGAGCUGAACGUGUGCUGAACUCGGAGGUGCCGUGCGUUCGGUACUUGAAUCGGUCGGAUCGUGAAGACGUAUGACUACAUCAACUACGUUGUCAUAACGCUUUCGCUUUCGGUCUAUGAGGGUACGUGGAUAACACUCUCCCCUCUCGUUUCUAUGCACCACCAUGAUCUUGCGUGUGCGUAGGAAUUUUUUUGAAAUUACUACGUUCCCCAACACUAACAACUUCCGUGAAGACACCGAGGGUCAAUACGCGAUGUGUCCGCCUAGAAACCCUAUUUCGCACACCGUAAGCAUAUAAGGAGAAGAAAACCCUUUGGAGGCAUACAAGUUUAUGGCUCAUCCACAGUCAUCCCUUCGCAGCCCCACCAUUCCCACCUACAAACAUUGCAAUAGUCAUCUCCAUGUCCAUAGUGUUCGUCCCCAUAACCAUAGCCAUAAACUUGUACUUAGAGUACUUCACAUACAAUGACAUUGUAAGACUAUCAUCGAUCAUUCAUCUUCCAACACCAUCUACAAUAUAUUUUGCCCGUGAUUUAUUUAUGAUGUGCAAGUAGUCCCUUCAGGCUAAAGGCUGAGACAUAGCCUUGCAACCCCAUGUAUGUGCAACAAGAUUGUUGGUUUACUUUAAAGUAACCUUAUUUCUGUGUGUUAUGCAAAAAAAGUCUCUUGUAUCUACCUCCUUCUAAGCCGAGAAGAGGUUAAGUGUAGAGAGGAGCGGAAGGCUAUGCCAUACAUUCUCUAAGGUAUAAACGAUGUAGUCAUUAAAUGCCCACUGCGUUGGUCUGUAUUAGUCAUUAAUAAUUUUUGUAACUAGUAUUGUGUCAUCCUACCACCACAUACAAAAGAGGGUGUAAUCGUACUACCGCAAGUUCACCAUUACCAUGAGGAAUUAGUGUAUACCACUUCAUCAAAAUAGACAGGCCAACAAGUGUUUUGAAGUUGUGGCUACCAAAAAAUGUAUGGCAUCAUCAUCAUCCUCGUCUUUGUCAUCAUCAUGAACACCCUCAGCACCAGAAAUGACCAAAGCUGUAGUAAUAGUGCUUGCUAAGCCAGGUCCUAAGUCAGAGAUCCAUAUGCUCAACCCCCAUGCAAAUGUAGCCAAGACCACGUGCUCUGUUGUCCAACAGGUGGAUAAGAGCCACCCACCAGAACCUCCUGACUGAAGCGAGCCAUGUCCAUGACAACGCUGUAUAGGGAAGGGUGGAUGUCCACACAUGCUUGCUCUUCCCGAUGGUGAUUGACACCUCCUUGCACUACAAAAAAAUACACUUCCGUGAUGAUACGUGUUUGUCACAGUAGGUCACGUUUUCUGUCAUGCAUGUACAUCCAUGACAAAUUUAUGACAUAAUCAAGAUAGUCAUACCUGUGCUGUCGUAGAAGUGUUCCAUGACAUUACCAAGAUUAUCAUCACGGAAGUGUCCACUUCCAUGACGAUAAAUCGCGCGUCACAGAAGUGCUUUCGUCUAGGGUGACCGACACGUGGCAUCCACCGUAACGGAACGCCGUUAAGCUACCGGGUCCGGUUUUUGAUCCGAUAACCCGUUAACAGCCCGGACCAAUGGGGAUUUUCCACGUGUAAAAUCAUCAUUGGCCGGAGGAAACACGUGUUGCCUCACCGUUGGGACAGAUGUCAUCCACUCAUUGGACAGGAGGCGCCUAUGAUAGGUCGACACAUGGCACGGCCCAACAGUGGCCCAUUCCGGUGAAAAAGGCCGGCCCAGUAAAAAAUAGCAGGCCGGCCCAUAUAAGGCCUACUUGUGUCAGGUCCAUUUAAGACCACGGACCAUACGCGAUGUGCCAAUUCGGCCCGUCAACGGCCCGUUAAAGAUUUGACACCAUUGCAGCCCAUCGUCAGUUCGAGCCUAUUAACAGCCCGCUAUAUAUUUGGGCUCAAUAUCGGCCCGAUGAGAUUUCGGCCUGUUAACGGCCCAUUCAGUGGAUGGGCCAAUUUUCACGAUGUACAUCUUUCGGCCUUUUAGCGACCCAUUUAAAUAUUGGGCUAAUUUCCGGCCCGGUGUGUCUUUCAGCCUGUUGAUGGCCCAUAAAUCAGUUGGGCCAUUUGUUGUCGGACCUGAGUUUCGGCCUUUUAGCGACCCAUUUAAGUGUUGGGCCAAUUUCCGGCCCGGUGUGUCUUUCAGCCUGGUGACGGCCCAUAUAUCUGUUGGGCCAUUUGUGGUCGGACCUGAGUUUUGGCCUUUUAGCGACCCAUUUAAGUGUUGGGCCAAUUCCCGGCCAUGUGUGCCUUUCAGCCUGUUAAUGGACCAUAAAUGAGUUGGGCCAUUUGUAGUCGGACCUGAGUUUUGGCCUUUUAACGCCCAUGCCCUUCAUGGUCCAAUACCAGCCCAGUUACUCUUUCGGCCUGCUAAAGGCCCACAACACAGUUGGGCCAUUUACAAUACGACCUGACUUUCGGCCUCUUAGCGGCCGAUUGCUCUACAUGGUCCAAUACAAGCCCGUUGUCUCUUUCGGCCUGCUAAAGGCCCACAGUAUACUUGGGCCAUAUGUAGCCCGAACUUAGUAACGACCUGUUAAUGGCCCGUGAAAUCAAUUGGGCCCACAUGUUGCCCGCUUCGAUGUCAGCCUGUUAACGACCCGGGAGUUAAGAGGGCCGACCAUUAACUUUCGGCCUGGUAACGACCCAUUAACUUAAUGGGCCCACUAAAGUUCGUACAUGUCUUUAGGCCAAAUUAGAAAAUUUGAGCCCAUUACGACGAGCAAUUAUGCACAGGACCAAAACCGAUCAAGCAAAGGUACGGCAUACAGGGAAAAACGUUGCACAUUCAGCAUAUAUUACAGGAAAUUACAUCCACUGGGCAAUCAAAGAUUGAUGCCAGUGCAAAUAAAUGGACAGAACCUAACGAUCUACAACGUCACAAUCUGCAACCUCAGCACGGAUGACGCCCAUAACAUGUGGGCAAGUUCUUGCUGCUUUGCUACACUGUCUUUGAAAACAUUGAUCAGUUGUUGUGUCGCACGACUCUGCACCUCUGAUUCCUCCACCAUUUCCAUCAUUCCUUCAGCCAUUAAUUGGUUCACAAACAUACAUUGUUUCCGUUGCAUUGGUGACAGAGGAUACUGAACAGAUUCAGAUGGCGAUUUUGGCAGGCUUGUAUUAUUGAUAGUGGAGAGUGUCUCGACCACUACAUCAUACCAUAAAUUAGGAGGGGAACCAAACAGAUUAAUCAUGAGUUAUUGGCAUAUUACCUGGCCUAGAUUUAUUGGAAAGAAACAAUGGGGUUGCCUUGCUGUUUUCAGAGUUUGUCUUCUUAUCUUCAGCAGCUUGCACCAAAUUAAGACACUAGCAUUGUUAUCAUUGGCCAAGUCAGGUAAUAGGAAAGCAACAUUGGCACAACGAACGUUUGGGCAACUAGCCAACACCAAACUAAAACAAUAUGGCGCAACUAUCAUCAGCCAGGUAAGGUAAUACGAAAGCAACAUUGACACAAUGAAUGAAUGGGCAACCAGAGCAGCACUACAAUUCAGUAAUGUGCAUGAUAUGAGAUAGUACACUCAUGCAGCUCAGUAUGCAAAACUACCAGGCAGUUUUCUUUACAAAAAUCAACAUUAGUGCCUUUAACAUUUUGCUACAACAAAUUUUAGAUCAGAUAAAGGUUGGAUUCACGCUGAUUAACAAAAUAUAUGCUGAUGUAAAAAUAUAGUGAUAUACAACAGGUACUUACAUCAGCAUUAGAGCAUAGAGAAUUCCCGCAAGAUAUUUUCCUCGAAUACAAUGCCAAUGAAGGAAAUCUUCUAUCAUUUAACCUUAUUUUCUAAAAGAGAGAUGGGUAAGAAACAUGUAGAAAAUAUGAUCAGAAUGCUAUAAAAUUUCAUGAUGCAAGGAUACGCACACGCUCUUAGAAUGGAGUUGACAUUCUUUUGCUGGACUGGAGCAGACUAGUUCUUUGGCCACUGGAAUCUGCUUAUUAUCAGUGGGAGUUGGGUUUCUCUGUGCUGGAGCAGUAUCUAUGAAAAAUGGAGUUGGUUUAUUAUCUCCUGGCGUUUGGAUCUUUUGCAAUGACCUGGUUUGUAACCCUUCAGAUUCUAACAUAGCCGUCUUCCCCUUGCAUGCCUUAUAUAGAAGAAUGGUGCUUGAAUUAUAAAACAUGCUACAGCAGAGAUGGAAUAGGUACUGAAGAAUAGAAAGGCAUGACAUAUUGACAUGUAUUCCCUCCAUCCGGAAAUAAAUGGAUGGGUCUAGGCGUAUUUCAGUUCUAGAUACAUCCAGUUUUAUCCAUUUCUACGACAUGUAAUCCGGACGGAGGGAGUAUGAUGUAAGAGCUAGGGAUACGACAGGACAACACAGUAAAAAAACACCGAAAACCCACUGCAGAACCAAAGUAAUCAAACCCACUGAUAUGAGAUAGUACACUCAUGCAGCUCAGGAUGCAAAACUACCAGGCAGGUUUCCUUACAAAAAUCAACAUUGUGGCCUUUAAUCAUACAUUUUGCUACAACUAAAUUUAGAUCAGAUAAAGGUUGGAUUCACGCCAAUUAACAAAAUACAUGCUGAUGUAAAAAUAUAGUGAUAUACGACAGGUACUUACAUCUGCAUUGGAGUACAGAGAAUUCCUGCAAGAAUCUUUCCUCACAGAUGAUACCAGUGCAGAAAUUCUUCUAUCUGUUAAGCUUAUUUUUUUAAAGAGAGAUGGGUAAGAAACAUGUAGAAAAUAUGAUCAGCAUGCUAUAAAAUUUCAUGAUGCAAGGAUACGCACACGCUUCUUAGAAUGGAGUUGACAUAUUUUUGCUGGACUGGAGCGGACUAGUUCUUUGGCCACUGGAAUCUGCUUAUUAUCAGUAGGAGUUGGGUUUCUCUGUGCUGGAGCAGUAUCUAUAAAAACCGGAGUUGGUUUAUUAUCUCCUGGCGUUUGGAUCUUUUGCAAAGACCUGGUUUGUAACCCUUCAGAUUCUAACAUAGUCGUCUUCCCCUUGCAUGCCUUGUAUAGAAGAAUGGUGCUUCAAUUAUAAAACAUGCUACAACAGAGAGAUGGAACAGGUACUGAAGAAUAGAAAGGCAUGACAUAUUGACAUGUAUUCCCUCCAUCCGGAAAAAAUGGAUGGGUCUAGGCGUAUUUUAGUUCUAGAUACAUCCUUUUUAUCCAUUUCGGCAACAUGUAAUCCGGACGGAGGGAGUAUGGUGUAAGAGCUAGGGAUACGACAGGAAAACACAGUAAAAAACACUAGUUGAAUGUAAAACUGUAUGCUAGCGGAAUACAUACAGAAAAAACUAAGGCAACAUACACGUGUAUGAUUGGGAAACUAAGAUGGCAUUGCAACAGAGCACUAGAACAACACUUCAAUGUAAAAAACAUGGUAUGGUAGAUAGAUGAAGUACAUACUGAUGAAUAACAAUGCAUAAGAUAUUCAGAAGCAUGAUGUCCAAAUUAAGCAGAUGGCAUUGCGAUAGAGCAAGGACCUUGUGGGGUGAAGAGGAUUCAACAUCUUUCUGCAAGUCUUCUGAAGAAUUGCCUUUACAUGUUCCAUCAUAUUGGGUAUCAUUGAUAUCAAGUUUAUUGGCCUUUACAUUGCUCCGUGAGGUUCUUGUGGAUAUAUCAGUGUGUGCAAUUAUAUCUGACAUGCAUGGAAGACAACUAGUAGUUAGAUUUAUGUAAUGAGUGCCUGUAGGAGACUACAUAAAUAGUAGGACUGGGGUUAACUAGCAGCAACAUGUCUCAAAAACUAAAGGGAGAACAGAGAUGAAAGCUACAGAAUAUGUAUCGUUUGUACUCGAGAUUAACUAGAUGGCACACAAAAGUAUUAAAGAACAACAUACGUAAUACUAGAAGUGGUAUAAGACUAUAAUCACCAGCCUGUGGGAUAACAUUGGCUGAUGGAUGAUAACUAUGGAACAACGUUACCUAAAGAACAAGUAUCUUAGCUGAACUAUGGAACAACGUUAACUCCUGAACAAGACCCGUAAGAGAUCAGCAUGAAUAUACAGUGAAAUGUGAUAAUCUAUUUUCCAUGCUUAGAUGAAUAACAAAGCCAUAAAUGUUGCAGACAAGUAAGAUGAGGGUACAACCUAUCUGGCCGCCAUCCAUAGGAGUGAGCAUCAUGUGCUGACUUGUCGAUGGCCCUGCAAUUGUUGUGGCAUCCGUGUUGGGCACACGCAUUCGAUGCAGGGAACUGUUGAGUGGGGACUAUAGUUCCCUUCUGGUGUAUGCUUCCCUUGUUGGAGCAGUUGCGGUGAGUCGGAAGACGGUGUGGCUGAAGAUGCAGAUAACGCAUAAUGUUAAGAACGACACAUCUAUUUGACCUGAAGAAAUACACCAAGAGAUCAGCAGCAAGGUACGAGAGUGGUCACACGUCUGUUGACUGAGACUAAAUUGGGGUCACACGAUUUUAUUUUAUUUUGGUACUGUCCGAUCUACGCCAGAUGGCUUGAUGGUUGUCUUGUGCCUCCCGGCUGACACUGUUAGGAAUCUUCCCCGAAGAGCCAGCGACCAACGGCAGAGCAGCUUGCCUCCGCCGUCCGUGGCCUCGGCCAAAACUCCGCUCCCCGCCCCACCGCACUGCCGUGGUUGCGCCGCCCCCGGGCCAAUCCAUAAAGACUACCCGUCAUCCAGAUCCGGCGACGGCAGUACCUUGAACCCACGCAACUCUAAGAUAGCCAUCUAAGUGCUGCUUCCGCGGUGAACUUGCGGCCCCGCACCCUUACGUUAGACACCAGCCAACCGGCAGCCUAGGAGCUCCGCCGCCUCGAGGGGUGCUGCUUCCCAUUGGGAAUCAAUUGGCCCAGAAUAAAAAUUUAGACAACUGACGCCUAAAUAAAGUGAUUUGAGAUGAGGGUGCGACCUAUCUGGCAGCUGUUGGAAAUAUGCCCUAGAAGCAAUAAUAAAAUGGUUAUUAUUGUAUUUCCUUGUUCAUGAUAAUUGUCUAUUGUUCAUGCUAUAAUUGUAUUAACUGGAAACCGUAAUACAUGUGUGAAUACAUAGACCAGAACGUGUCCCUAGUAAGCCUCUAGUUGACUAGCUCGUUGAUCAAUAGAUGGUUAUGGUUUCCUGACCAUGGACAUUGGAUGUCAUUGAUAACGGGAUCACAUCAUUACGAGAAUGAUGUGAUGGACAAGACCCAAUCCUAAGCAUAGCACAAGAUCAUGUAGUUCGUUUGCUAAGAGCUUUUCUAAUGUCAAGUAUCAUUUCCUUAGACCAUGAGAUUGUGCAACUCCCGGAUACUGUAGGAAUGCUUUGGGUGUACCAAACAUCACAACGUAACUGGGUGGCUAUAAAGGUGCAUUACAGGUAUCUCCGAAAGUGUCUGUUGGGUUGGCACGAAUCGAGACUGGGAUUUGUCACUCCGUAUGACGAAGAGGUAUCUCUGGGCCCACUCGGUAAUGCAUCAUCAUAAUGAGCUCAAUGUGACUAAGUAGUUAGUCACGGGAUCAUGCAUUACAGAACGAGUAAAGUGACUUGCCGGUAACGAGAUUGAACGAGGUAUUGGGAUACCGACGAUCGAAUCUCGGGCAAGUAACAUACCGAUUGACAAAGGGAAUUGUAUACGGGAUUGAUUGAAUCCCCGACAUCGUGUUCAUCCGAUGAGAUCAUCGUGGAACAUGUGGGAGCCAAUAUGGGUAUCCAGAUCCUGCUAUUGGUUAUUGGCCAGAGAUGUGUCUCGGUCAUGUCUGCAUGGUUCCCGAACCCGUAGGGUCUACACACUUAAGGUUCGGUGACGCUAGAGUUGUUAUGGGAAAUAGUAUGUGGUUACCGAAGGUUGUUCGGAGUCCCGGAUGAGAUCCCGGACAUCACGAGGAGUUCCAGAAUGGUCCGGUGGUGAAGAUCGAUAUAUUGGACGAAGGGUAUUGGAGUCCGGAAGUGUUCCGGGGGUACCAGGCUAUGGCCAGCAUGUCCGAAAGGUGUUUCGGGAGCCCCGACAAGUGUUGGAGGGUCUCAUGGGCCAAAGGGGAAGGGGCAAACCAGCCCACUAAGGGGUGGUGCGCCCCCCACAACCUGUCCCACGUUACUUGGGGAGGUGGGGCGCCUCCACCUGCUUGGCUUGGGGGGCAAGUCUCCCUAGGAUUUUCCCUAGGGAGAUCCAAUCUGCUUGGCCGCCGCCCCCUAGGGGAAACCCUAGGGCGCCUCCCCCUCUCCCCUUGCCCCUAUAUAUAGUGGAGGGGUGGGAGGGCAGCCGCACCUCUUCCCUGGCGCAGCCCUCCCUCCUCAUACACCUCCUCUUCCUCCUCCGUAGUGCUUAGUGAAGCUCUGCCGGAGAACCACGAGCUCCAUUGCCACCACGCCAUCGUGCUGCUGGAGUUCUCCCUCAAGUUCUCCUCUCCCCUUGCUGGAUCAAGAAGGAGGAGACGUCCCCGGGCUGUACGUGUGUUGAACGCGGAGGCGCCGUCCGUUCGGCGGUAGAUCGGAUCUUCCGCGAUUUGAAUCGCUGCGAGUACGACUCCAUCAACCGCGUUCUUGUAACGCUUCCGCUUAGCGAUCUACAAGGGUAUGUACAUGCACUCCUCCCCUCUCGUUGCUAGUAAACUCCAUAGAUUGAUCUUGGUGAUGCGUAGAAAAUUUUGAAUUAUUGCUACGUUCCCCAACAGUGGCAUCAUGAGCUAGGUCUAUGCGUAGAUUCUAUGCACGAGUAGAACACAAAGUAGUUGUGGGCGAUGAUUUGUUCAAUUUUCUUACCGUUACUAGUCUUAUCUUGAUUCGGCAGCAUUGUGGGAUGAAGCGGCCCGGACCGACCUUACACGUACUCUUACGUGAGACAGGUUCCACCGACUGACAUGCACUUGAUGCAUAAGGUGGCUAGCAGGUGUCUGUCUCUCCCACUUUAGUUGGAUCGGAUUCAAUGAAAAGGGUCCUUAUGAAGGGUAAAUAGAAAUUGGCAUAUCACCAUUGUGGCUUUUGCGUAGGUAAGAAACGUUCUUGCUAGAAACCCAUAGCAGCCACGUAAAACAUGCAACAACAAUUAGAGGACGUCUAACUUGUUUUUGCAGGGUAUGCUAUGUGAUGUGAUAUGGCCAAAAGGAUGUGAUGAAUUAUAUAUGUGAUGUAUGAGAUUGAUCAUGUUCUUGUAAUAGGAAUCACGACUUGCAUGUCGAUGAGUAUGACAACCGACAGGAGCCAUAGGAGUUGUCUUAAUUUAUUGUAUGACCUGCGUGUCAAUGAAAACGCCAUGUAAUUACUUUACUUUAUUGCUAACCGUUAGCCAUAGUAGUAGAAGUAAUAGUUGGCGAGACAACUUCAUGAAGACACGAUGAUGGAGAUCAUGGUGUCAUGCCGGUGACGAAGGUGAUCAUGCCGCGCCUCGAAGAUGGAGAUCAAAGGCGCAAGAUGAUAUUGGCCAUAUCAUGUCACUUUAUGAUUUGCAUGUGAUGUUUGUCAUGUUUACAUCUUAUUUGCUUAGAACGACGGUAGCAUAAAUAAGAUGACCCCUCACUAAAAUUUCAAGAGAUGUGUUCCCCCUAACUGUGCACCGUUGCGAAGGUUCGUUGUUUCGAAGCACCACGUGAUGAUCGGGUGUGAUAGAUUCUAACGUUCGCAUACAACGGGUGUAAGCCAGAUUUACACAUGCGAAACACUUAGGUUGACUUGACGAGCCUAGCAUGUACAGACAUGGCCUCGGAACACAAGAGACCGAAAGGUCAAACAUGAGUCGUAUAGUAGAUACGAUCAACAUGGAGAUGUUCACCGAUGAUGACUAGUCCGUCUCACGUGAUGAUCGGACACGGCCUAGUUGACUCGGAUCAUGUAUCACUUAGAUGACUAGAGGGAUGUCUAUCUGAGUGGGAGUUCAUUAAAUAAUUUGAUUAGAUGAACUUAAUUAUCAUGAACAUAGUCAGAAGGUCUUUGCAAAUUAUGUCGUAGCUUACGCUUUAGUUCUACUGUUUAAGAUAUGGUCCUAGAGAAAAUUUAGUUGAAAGUUGAUAGUAGCAACUAUGCGGACUGGGUCCGUAAACUGAGGAUUGUCCUCAUUGCUGCACAGAAGGCUUAUGUCCUUAAUGCACCGCUCGGUGUGCUGAACCUCGAGCGUCAUUUGUGGAUGUUGCGAACAUCUGACAUACACGUUUUGAUGACUACGUGAUAGUUCAGUGCGUAAGGUGGAACGGUUUAGAAUUGAGGCACCGAAGACAUUUUGAAACGUCGCGGAACAUAUGAGAUGUUCCAAGAGCUGAAAUUGGGAUUUUAGGCUCGUGCCCACGUCAAGAGGUAUGAGACCUCUGACAAGUUUCUUAAACCUGCAAACUAAGGGAGAAAAGCUCAACCGUUGAGCAUGUGCUCAGAUUGUCUGAGUACUACAGUCGCUUGAAUCGAGUGGGAGUUAAUCUUCCAGAUGAGAUAGUGAUGGUUCUCCAAAGUCACUGCCACCAAGCUACUAGAGCUUCGUGAUGAACUAUAACAAAUCAGGGAUAGAUAUGAUGAUCCUUGAGCUAUUUGCGAUGUUUGACACCACGAAAGUAGAAAUCAAGUAGGAGCAUCAAUUGUUGAUGGUUAGUAAAACCACUAGUUUCAAGAAGGGCAAGGGAAAGAAGGGAUACUUCAUGAAACGGCAAAUCAGUUGCUGCUCUAGUGAAGAAACCCAAGGUUGAACCCAAACCCGAGACUAAGUGCUUCUGUAAUGAGGGGAACGGUCACUGAAGCAGAACUACCCUAGAUACUUGGUAGAUGAGAAGGUAGGCAAGGUCGACAGAAGUAUAUUGGAUAUACAUUAUAUUAAUGUGUACUUUACUAGUAGUCCUAGUAGCACCAGGGUAUUAGAUACCGGUUCGGGUGCUAAGUGUUGGUAACUCGAAAUAAAAGGCUACGGAAUAAACGGAGACUAGCUAAAGGUGAGAUGACGAUAUGUGUUGGAAGUGUUUCCAAGGUUGAUGUGAUCAAGCAUCGCAUGCUCCCUCUACCAUCGAGAUUGGUGUUAAACCUAAAUAAUUGUUAUUUGGUGUUUGCGUUGAGCAUAUACAUGAUUGGAUUAUGUUUAUCGCAAUACGAUUAUUCAUUAAAGGAGAAUAAUGGUUACUCUGUCUAUUUGAAUAAUACCUUCAAUGGUCUUGCACCUAAAAUGAAUGGUUUAUUGAAUCUCGAUCGUAGUGAUACACAUGUUCAUGCUAAAAGAUAUGAGAUAGUAAUGAUAGUACCACAUACUUGUGGCACUGCCACUUGAGUCAUAUUGGUAUAAAACGCAUGAAGAAGCUCCAUGUUGAUGGAUCUUUGGACUCACUCGUUUUUGAAAAGAUUGAGACAUGCGAACCAUGUCUAUUAGUAUAUAUGCAUGAAGAAAGUCCAUACAAAUGGAUCGUUUGGACUCACUUGAUUUUGAAUCACUUGAGACAUGCAAAUCAUACCACAUGGGCAAGAUGACUGAAAGGCCUCGUUUUCAGUAAAGAUGGAACAAGAAAGCAACUUGUUGGAAGUAAUACAUUUUGAUGUGUGCAGUCCAAUGAGUGUUGAGGCAUGCAGUGGAUAUCGUUAUGUUCUUGCUUCCCAGAUGAUUUGAGUAGAUGCUGAGUAUAUUUACUUGAUGAAACACAAGUCUGAAUUAUUGAAAGGUUCAAGUAAUUUCAGAGUGAAGUUGAAGAUCGUCGUGACAAGAGGAUAAAAUGUUUGUGAUAUGAUCAUAGAGAUGAAUAUCUGAGUUACGAGUUUGGCACACAAUUAAGAAAUUGUGGAAAUUGUUUCACGACUAAUACCGCCUGGAACACGAUAGUGUGAUGGUGUGUCCGAACAUCAUAACUGCACCCUAUUGGAUAUGGUGCAUACCAUGAUGUCUCUUAUCGAAUUACACUAUCGUUUAUGGGUUAGGCAUUAGAGAUAACCGCAUUCACUUUAAAUAGGGCACCACGCAAUUCCGUUGAGACGACACCAUAUGAACUAUGGUUUAGAGAAACCUAAGCUGUCGUUUCUUAAAAGUUUGGGGCUGCGACGCUUAUGUGAAAAAGUUUCAGGCUGAUAAGCUCGAACCCAAAGCGGAUAAAUGCAUCUUCAUAGAAUACCCAGAACAGUUGGGUAUACCUCCUAUUUCAGAUCUGGAAGCAAAAGUGAUUGUUUCUAGAAACGGGUCCUUUCUCGAGGAAAAGUUUCUCUCGAAAGAAUUGAGUGGGAGGAUGGUGGAGACUUGAUGAGGUUAUUGAACCAUGACUUCAACUAGUGUGUAGCAGGGCACAGGAAGUUGUUCCUGUGGCACGUACACCAAUUGAAGUGGAAGCUUAUGAUAGUGAUCAUGAAACUUCAGAUCAAGUCACUACCAAACCUCGUAGGACGACAAGGAUGCGUACUACUUCAGAGUGGUACGUAAUCCUGUCUUGGAAGUCAUGUUUCUAGACAAUAAUGAACCUACGAGCUAUGGAGAAGCGAUGGUGGGCCCGGAUUCCGACGAAUGGCUUGAGGCCAUAAAACCGAGAGGAUCCAUGUAUGAAAACAAAGUAUAGACUUUGAAAGAACUACUUGAUGGUCGUAAGGCUGUUGGGUACACAUGGAUUUUAAAAGGGAAGACAGACAAUGAUGGUAAGUAUCACCAUUAAGAAAGCUCGACUUGUCGUUAAGAUGUUUUCCGACAAGUUCAAGGAGUUGACUACGAUGAGAUUUUCUCACUCGUAGCGAUGCUAAGAGUCUGUUAGAAUUAUAUUAGCAGUUACUGCAUUAUUUAUGAAAUCUUGCAGAUAGGAUGUCAAAACAUUGUUUCCUCGACGAUUUUCUUGAGGAAAAGUUGUAUGUGAUACAACCAAAAGGUUUUGUCAAUCCUGAAAGAUGCUAACAAGUAUGCAAAGCUCCAGCAAUCCUUCUAAGGACUGGAGUAAGCAUCUCGGAGUUGGAAUGUACGCUUUGAUGAGAUGAUCAAAGAUUUUGGGUUUAUACAAAGUUUAUGAGAAACUUGUAUUUCCAAAGAAGUGAGUGGGAGCACUAUAGAAUUUUUGAUGAGUAUAUGUUGUUAACAUAUUGUUGAUCAGAAAUGAUGUAGAAUUUCUAGAAAGCAUACAGGGUUAUUUGAAAAGUGUUUUUCAAUGGAAAACCUGGAUUAAGCUACUUGAACAUUGAGCAUCAAGAUCUAUAAGGAUAGAUCAAAAACACUUAAUAGUACUUUCAAAUGAAUACAUACCGUGAUAGGAUUUUGAAAGAGUUCAAAAUAGAUCAGCAAAGAAGGAGUUCUUGGCUGUGUUACAAGGUGUGAGUAUUGAGUAAGACUCAAGACCUGACCACGGCAGAAGAGAGAGAAAGGACGAAGGUCGUCCCCUAUACUUUAGACGUAGGCUCUACAAUAUGCUAUGAUGUGUACCGCACCUGAAGUGUGCCUUGCCAUGAGUUAGUCAAGGGGUACAAUAGUGAUCCAGGAAUGGAUCACAUGACAGCGGUCGAACUUAUCCUUAGUAUCUAGUGGACUAAGGAAUUUUCUCGAUUAUGGUGGUGGUAAAAGAGUUCGUCGUAAAGGGUUACGUCGCUACAAACUUUGACACUAAUCCGGAUGACUGUGAGUAGUAAACCGGAUUCGUAUAGUAGAGCAGUUAUUUGGAAUAGCUCCAAGUAGCGUGUGGUAGCUGCAUCUACAAGAUGGCAUAGAGAUUUGUAAAGCACACACGGAUCUGAAAAGUUCGGACCCGUUGACUAAUAACCUCUCUCACAAGCGAGAUAUGAACAAACCCCAUGGGUGUUGGAUUCAUUACAAUCACAUAGUGAUGUGAACUAGAUUAUUGACUCUAGUGCAAGUGGGAGACUGUUGGAAAUAUGCUCUAGAGGUAAUAAUAAAAUGGUUAUUAUUGUAUUUCCUUGUUCAUGAUAAUUGUCUAUUGUUCAUGCUAUAAUUGUAUUAACUGGAAACCGUAAUACAUGUGUGAAUACAUAGACCACAACAUGUCCCUAGUAAGCCUCUAGUUGACUAGCUCGUUGAUCAAUAGAUGGUUAUGGUUUCCUGACCAUGGACAUUGGAUGUCAUUGAUAACGGGAUCACAUCAUUAGGAGAAUGAUGUGAUGGACAAGACCCAAUCCUAAGCAUAGCACAAGAUCAUGUAGUUCGUUUGCUAAGAGCUUUUCUAAUGUCAAGUAUCAUUUCCUUAGACCAUGAGAUUGUGCAACUCCCGGAUACCGUAGGAAUGCUUUGGGUGUACCAAACGUCACAACGUAACUGGGUGGCUAUAAAGGUGCAUUACAGGUAUCUCCGAAAGUGUCUGUUGGGUUGGCACGAAUCGAGACUGGGAUUUGUCACUCUGUAUGACGGAGAGGUAUCUCUGGGCCCACUCGGUAAUGCAUCAUCAUAAUGAGCUCAAUGUGACUAAGUAGUUAGUCACGGGAUCAUGCAUUACGGAAUGAGUAAAGUAACUUGCCGGUAACGAGAUUGAACGAGGUAUUGGGAUACCGACGAUCGAAUCUCGGGCAAGUAACAUACCGAUUGACAAAGGGAAUUGUAUACAGGAUUGAUUGAAUCCCCGACAUCGUGGUUCAUCCGAUGAGAUCAUCGUGGAACAUGUGGGAGCCAAUAUGGGUAUCCAGAUCCCGCUAUUGGUUAUUGUCCGGAGAGGUGUCUCGGUCAUGUCUGCAUGGUUCCCGAACCCGUAGGGUCUACACACUUAAGGUUCAGUGACGCUAGAGUUGUUAUGGGAAAUAGUAUGUGGUUACCGAAGGUUGUUCGGAGUCCCGGAUGAGAUCCCGGACAUCACAAGGAGUUCCGGAAUGGUCCGGCGGUGAAGAUCGAUAUAUUGGACGAAGGGUAUUGGAGUCCGGAAGUGUUCCGGGGGUACCAGGCUAUGGCCAGCAUGACCGAAAGAUGUUUCGGGAGCCCCGACAAGUGUUGGAGGGCCUCAUGGGCCAAAGGGGAAGGGGCAAACCAGCCCACUAAGGGGUGGUGCGCCCCCCACACCCUUUCCCACGUUACUUGGGGAGGUGGGGCGCCUCCACCUGGCUUGGGAGGCAAGCCUCCACCUGCUUGGCUUGGGGGGGCAAGUCUCCCUAGGAUUUUCCCUAGGGAGAUCCAAUCUGCUUGGCCGCCGCCCCCUAGGGGAAACCCUAGGGCGCCUCCCCCUCUCCCCUUGCCCCUAUAUAUAGUGGAGGGGUGGGAGGGCAGCCGCACCUCUUCCCUAGCGCAGCCCUCCCUCCUCAUACACCUCCUCUUCCUCCUCCGUAGUGCUUAGCGAAGCUCUGCCGGAGAACCACGAGCUCCAUUGCCACCACGCCGGCGUGCUACUGGAGUUCUCCCUCAACUUCUCCUCUCCCCUUGCUGGAUCAAGAAGGAGGAGACGUCCCCGGGCUGUACGUGUGCUGAACGCAGAGGCGCCGUCCGUUCGGCGCUAGAUCGGAUCUUCCGCGAUUUGAAUCGCUGCGAGUACGACUCCAUCAACCGCGUUCUUGUAACGCUUCCGCUUAGCGAUCUACAAGGGUAUGUAGAUGCACUCCUCCCGUAUCGUUCCUAGUAAACUCCAUAGAUUAAUCUUCGUGAUGCGUAGAAAAUUUUGAAUUAUUGCUACGUUCCCCAACAGCAGCAUGGUGAAGUAGGCAGGUCCAGCUGUCGAGUCGGUGAGGCCGGCGCGGUUGCAGUGGCCACCGGCGGUAGGGAAACAGCGAUUCACGACGGUCGACGGCUACGGGGAAGCAGCGCCGGGACUCUGUACGGAUCCGAAGUUGGAGCCGCUCCGGCGCCGUGAACAACGGCGGGGGUGAAUCGGCUCCGGUACGGUUCACGCGACCGUCGUCGAGGCAGCUCCAGCAGCACGGAGUAAGAGGCACACAGCCCAGUGCACGACGGCAAAUGGACAGCGUCUCCGGCGUUAGGGAGGAGGGCGGCUGUGAAAUUGGUGCGGUGGGGGCGCCAUGGAGGAGGGGCUGAGGUUUCGCGGCUCGGGAGAAGGGAGCUUCUGGGGAGAUAGUGAUUUGGCGCCCACGAGGUAUGAAUGGGGGGGGAAUUGGGAGGGGAGUGGAACCUUGUUUUACGGACGCAUUUGUCUGAAAUGUGAGGGGGAGUUAUAGUUCUACCCCUGCCUUUAGGCUUCUCAGCUUGGGUCUGUGUACUGAGGGUCGGGGAUAGUAGAGUAACUUUGCUUCUCCCCAAAUAGUGGGCGGGAACGAUUUCGGGCGUGGAGGACGUGUUUUGAAAUAUAGUGGGCGCGAGCGAUUUCAGGCGAGGAGAGCGUGUUUUGAAAUAGUGGGCGCGAGCUAUUUCGGGCGAGGAGAGCUGUCGGUGCACAAAAAGAGGGGUGCGUUUUUGUACCCCUAUACCUGUGCACGGGCAGUCGGAGCCGCGCCCACGGUCACACCAAGCGGAGCAGGGGAGGUGAGCCAAGGUAAGAGCGAAGCCCAAGAUAAUUAGAGCAACGCCAAGGCCAAGACCACAAAGAGCAGAGGGACGAAGCAGGUUCCCCCGGCAAGACCCUUGCUGGGGCAGCCUCAGCAGCCCUGGCAAGACCCUUGCCGGGGCAGCUCGCCCCGCACCAACAGAGCGAGCCACCCUUGAGCCCACGGUCCCCAACGCCAUCAUCCAGGUGGGGCCAGGGCUCAGGAAGGCACCUCUGUGGUGGCAUGCAGAUCUUUGUGAAGACAUAUUCAAGAUCAGAUGAGGAUUAGAAGACGACGAUCCCCGGCAAGAUCCUUGCCGAGGAAGGCCACCAGACCCCCAGCAAGGUCCUUGCCGGGGAUGACAACGCGCCACGGCAAGCCCCUUGCCGGGCCACACGGCAAGACCCUUGCCGGGCCACUCGGCAAGGCCCUCGCUAAGGACGCCAGCAGGGCUACCGCUAGGCCCACGCCAACCAAGCUUCCACCGCCGUUCACAUGCAGCUGCCAGCCCAACCAGCUGGGCGGGCACCUGCGUGGCAACAUGCAGCUCCCUGGCUAGCUCACUGAGCGCAUGCGUGGCGGCAUGCAGAUCUUCGUGAAGGCUCCGCCACUGCGCUACCUCAGCUGCCUGCCUGCAUACAUGGCACCGCGCGCCUCACUGGCCAGGGCGCGUGUCAAAGCGAGGAGGAGCGGCGACGGACGGGACGGGCCUCGCCCCGUCCCCAGUAAAGCAAGGGGACACCUAAGCUACGCAUUAAAUGCGUCUUGUCCUGUAAUACGAGCGAUAAGCUCAGAGCACUGUACGCCUUUCCACCUCCUGUGUGCCACUAUGGCAGCCCCUUCUGACUAUAAAAGGAGGCCCAUGGCAUACUGGAGAAGGAUUCGGCUCUUUCGAACCACACACUGACCAUAGCUAGUUCGAGAGCUCAAGAACUCUCUGAAAUACACCCACCAAAGCAGGACUAGGGUUUUACGCAUCCUCGCGGCCCGAACCUGGGUAAACGAUCCUUGUGCUGUCUACUAGCCCUGCUCUUCUCGCAACCCCGCGCCCCGGCAACCGUAGUAGGGAUUCUUGUGAUCCCAUAGGUGUCGUUCCACACCGACAUCUUUGGCGCGCCAGGUAGGGGGCGCAAUUGUGAGAAUCUGGUCUAGUAGUUAGCCUAGCAGUUCUUCGUCGCCAUGGCUCCUGAGAAGAAGGCGGCUGGAGGAACGACACUGGCUCAGCAACAGAAAAGCUAAGUCAUUUGGAGCUUUGAGUUAUUUCCUCCUAUACAUAAGGUUAUCAUCCUCGGAGAUCUCGCCUAUGUAUGAGAAACUUGCACGCAGAGGGGCCCUCCCGCAAUUGGCAACGCCCUUGUUCUGUUUCGAGUCCGCUCAACAGCUCAAAGCGGCCGCGUCGAGAGUGGCGGGGUAGCCUUCCGCACUUGGCAACGCUCCCGACUCUGACUCGAGUCAAGCUCGACAGUUCGGGCAGCCGCGCUAAGGGCGGCAAGGUGGUUAGCCCGGCAGCAAGCACACCCGGCAGGCCAAUGGGGAUCCGUCCCCAAGACGCCGCCUUGGGUUUACGUGCCAGCAAGCAUACCCAGUAACGUAGGGAGGACAUACAAAGGAAAAUCGAACAGGAAAAUAACAUGCAUAAUACUGAAAGUGCUGCAGAGUUAUAGUACAUCGAAUUGUUGCGGCGGUUCUAACUAGAGAUAGCGAUUGUCUUGGUUGUGAACCUGCAGCGGCGAUAAAGAAUGGGAUGCCUAAUCCCGGCGCUGGCCCUCCACCCUCUGAAUUUUGCCGACUCGGCUGAUGAUGGGCUUGAUGCGCUCCCUGAGCGGCGGAGGUCAGUACCCUCCGGCAAGCUCUCGAGCGCGGCGUCGAAGUCGAGGUCGGGGUACCAGUGCGCCACCUCGGUCAUGGCACCCUGGCAAAGCCUCCAGGACUCGUUGGCCAGUGAGGCCGCCCGGUUGGCGUGGAGCCGCUCCAGAGCGCCGACGACCUUCUCAAAGAACAUGGUCAGGCUGCAAUUCGCGCUCACGCUCCGCUCCGGGACAUACCUCACAUCCGGCAUCCCCAUGAUGGCCAGCUGCGCGGCGGUCUGGUUGGCGACGGUGGCGAGGCGAUCGAGCCAACGGUUCUCACCCGCCACGUGAUCCGCGAAGUUGAGGCCCUCGUUCUCCCGCAACUGCUUCUUGGCCUCCAGCUCCUUGGCCAGGGUCCUCUCUCGAGUUUUGGCCUCCGAAAGCACCUUCUCGAGACCCUCCAGCUUCAGCUUGAGGUCUUUGAUGGAGUUGUUGGCCUCGGAGAGCUCCCCAGCCUUGCUGACGACCGCGCCCUGCGCCUCUGUAAGGGCACUGUUAAGUGUGUCCCUCUCCUGGGAUAGCUUCAGGGCCUGCUCCUUCAGCCCGUCGCGCUCUGCCUCCAACUCCUCCACCUUGCCGGCGUGAACCUGGGCCUGGGCAUUGAGUGCCUCUUCGGCCUCUGCUCCAGCUCACUGGUCCGCUGCAAGACGAGCUUCUCCACCUCUGCAUCCUUGUCGCGAAGCAUGGCGGCAAGCUUUCCCUCGCGUGCAGCGAGGUCCUCCUCCUGGGAGUUCAGCGCGGCCUCGUGCUGGGUCCGGGCGGCUUCGGCGGCCGCGGCCAAGUUCCUCGCCGUCGCUUGAGCUUUCUCGACGUCGGCGAGCUUCAUGGUGAGCUCCAAGUCGCGCUUGGCCAGCUCGCCCUGAGCAGCCUUGAGCUCCUUGUGGGCCUCGCGGAACCAGUCCUGCGUCUCGGCAACGCGCUCCUGGAGGUCCGCCUCCGCCUUCUCCACCACCGCCGUCCUGGACUUAGCCUUGUCCAGGCGGGCGCGGUGGAGCACGUGGAGCUUCCGGAAGCUGGCGCCCAUGGCGUGGAGGAGCCGCUCUUCCUGCGAACCGUCGCCACCAACGAUCGGCUCGUCGACGACUUCAAGCCCGGCAGUGGCAAGCACUUCGUUGUCGAACACCUCUCCCUCAACGGGUGUCCUGGUGCUCGACGCACCUGGAAGGUGGACGAACAAGUCGUUGCUCACCCUCAAGUACUUGCCGGAGCCGGAAGCGGCAGAAGAGGAGGGCUGGUCACCAGCCACCUCCUCCUCCUCCUCCUCCUCGGCAGUGGCCCCGCCGGCCUCUCCGGCAGGCCCCUUGCCGGCCUCCUCAGCGGUAGCCUUGCCGGCUUCCCCGGCAGGCCCCUUGGCGGCGUCCUCGGCAGCGCCCUUGGCGGCAUCCUCGGCGGCGAUCUUCUCGGCGUCCGCCUCGGCGGCCUUGGCGACGCCCUCGAUGACGGCGUCCAUGUCCUCUGGGUUCACCGAGGAGGAAUCUGGACGCCGAAGAAGGGGGUGAGGCAAGGCCAGGACCAAGAGCCAGAAGGAAAAAGAAGCAGGGAUGAACGGCGAACGACUUACCUGUGCCAGUACCCGGCUGGGAAACGGAAGUCCCCUCCCCGCCAACAUUUGGCGUCGAGGCAAAGCCACCGGGCCCCAAGUUCUCCUCCUCCUCCUCCAUGUGCGUGGGCCCGGUGCCUGGCGCCCUUGCCGGGGACGCCCCUCGGGGCGGCGUGGUCGAUGGGGGCGGCGUGUUGGGAGUAGCCCUCUGUGGCUCCUCCUGCUGCUGCUCUCCUCCUGCAUACCUAGCAAGGUCAGCACCAAAGUGUCGUGCCCCUGACACAUGUCGACGGGGGAAGAGUGAUGGACUUACGCUGGGGGCUAUGCCGGGGGCUGCUGUCCGGGCUGCUCAACACCACCAAUGGCGCCCCCGAAGUACCAACUGGGGGCUGGUCAUCCGCCGAGACCUUGUCCCUCUUCACUCUCUGGGCCAGCAUCUCCAUGUCCCUGCAAAGAUGAAGACAAGUCAAGACGAGCAACACAGAUUGAGGAGGCAGAGAUAACGAAAAGGAACCAGAAACUUACUCGUCGUCCGCCUCCUCCUCUGCUGUUUUCCUCUUCCUCCUCGGGCUGAGGGAUCCAUAAUCAAAAGUAACCUCCGUAUCGGCAUCCGCCGGAGGAGGAGAAGGAGGUGGUGUCUGGACACGCGUGGACGAAGAAGGGGCGGCUGUCUUCUUCUUCACCGGGGCCUUCGCCGGCUUCUUUGCCGCUACGGCCCUCGUGUGGCGCCCGGACCCCUCCAAGGUCAGCUGUGGCCGCGUAGCCCUGCCGGGCCGGACCGGCUCGCUAGAACUGGCCCGCCGUAGGACUCGCCCUCUCCCCACAGCCGGCGUCGGGUCUGCGGUCUCGGCCUCCUCCUUCGACGACUCACCGGUUACAUCUUCAACCAGAGGAGCCUCAGUGCCGGCGCUGCUGGCUCCCCCGGCGGCCGCCGCCCACCGGGCGAGCUCCUCCUCCUCCGCGGCCGUCGCGGCCUUGUCCUCCACACCGCCAGCGCUGCCUGCCUCCCUGGCGAGCUGUGCCUCCCUCGCCCUGGUGGCGAUGUAGUCCAGCUCCGCCUGGGUGGUGUCCUGGACAAGCAGCCGCUCGGCGUCGGCGUUGACAUACCCCUCGUGCAAGGUGUCAAAGAACUGCUGCACCUCGGCGUCCUCCGGCUCCUUCCAGCUCGGGUCGGGGCCAUGCACGUUACAGUCCGGCAUCAUGGUAAUGAUAUCGGACCGGCGCGAGUUAUUGCACAACGGGACCACCCCCGUCGGCAGCUUGAACAGAGGCCCCUUGAGGACCUUGCCGGCCUUCGCGGUGGCCCUCACGACCUUGCCGGUCCGCUAGACCUCGCCGUCGCAGCCCACAUCGAGCUGGAAGAGCCGCUGGCAGAAAUGGGCGUGCCCCAUCACUGUGAAGUUGUGAUCGAGGCCGGGACGAAGCCGCAUGAUGUCGGCGGGGUUCGUGAAGAGCCAGGCUGGCCUCCCCUUGUUAUGCAGUGGAGCGAUCCGGCGGCGGAUGAAGUCCGCCCCGAUCAUCUCAAGGGUGAGGCCGGCCUCGGUGAGCUAGAGGAUCCUGGUGGUGGCGACCGUGAGCUUCUCGUCGUCAGCAUCGAUGUUGCUCCAAUCGCUUCUGCGGACCGGCGGCGCCCGGCGAACUUCGCAGAACGCCGGCGGGUCAUUCUCCUCGAUCCAGCACCACCGGCCCCGCCAUUCUUCCCACCUAUCCUUCAUGGCGCCCUCCGGAUACACUCCCUUGGAUCUUGAGACCCGGGCGAUGCAACCGGAGAUGGCGCCCCCUGGUUGGAUCCGAGGGGAGAAGUAAUGGCGGAAGAGCGCCGUGUUGGGGUCCACCCCGGCGAAGCCCUCGCAGAGAUGCGCGAAAAGGGCCAUGCACGCCACCGCAUUCGGAGUAAAAUCCAGAAGGCGGAAGCCAAAGGUAUGCAUGACGUCGCUGAAGAAAUCAGAGAAGGGAGGACAGAGCCCGCAGCGGGGAUGACACGCGUGCCCGGAUGCCCCGAAUUCUCCCCCCGUCUUCACUCCCCACAAGGGCCUGAAGGAGUCUCAAAGCUCGAACACGUCAACUGUCGAGGGGAAGAAGGCGGACUGCGUCCGCUGCACCGCCAGCGCACUCUCCAGCGGCUCCGCGGCUCCGGCGUCCUUGGCCACUCCCUUGCCCUUGGUGGAUUUUGGCGCCAUGGCGACUGGGGGAGGAAGGCAGGACAGAGGGCGGCGGAAGCGCAACGGCGACGAGCAGGAACGAAGCUUGAAGAAGAAGAGGAAGGCAGACGGAGGUUUCCGAGA